UAAUGCCUAGGAAAUUGCCCUGAUGUGGGGGAUAACCAUUGGAAACGAUGGCUAAUACCGCAUAAUGCCUACGGGCCAAAGAGGGGGACCUUCGGGCCUCUCGCGUCAGGAUAUGCCUAGGUGGGAUUAGCUAGUUGGUGAGGUAAGGGCUCACCGAGGCGACGAUCCCUAGCUGGUCUGAGAGGAUGAUCAGCCACACUGGAACUGAGACACGGUCCAGACUCCUACGGGAGGCAGCAGUGGGGAAUAUUGCACAAUGGGCGCAAGCCUGAUGCAGCCAUGCCGCGUGUGUGAAGAAGGCCUUCGGGUUGUAAAGCACUUUCAGUCGUGAGGAAGAUAGUGCAGUUAAUAGCUGCAUUAUUUGACGUUAGCGACAGAAGAAGCACCGGCUAACUCCGUGCCAGCAGCCGCGGUAAUACGGAGGGUGCGGGCGUGAAUCGGAAUUACUGGGCGUAAAGCGCAUGCAGGUGGUUUGUUAAGUCAGAUGUGAAAGCCCGGGGCUCAACCUCGGAAAUUGCAUUUGAAACUGGCAGACUAGAGUACUGUAGAGGGGGGGUAGAAUUUCAGGUGUAGCG
This 575-nucleotide ribosomal RNA is filed under the name Vibrio campbellii. RNAcentral describes it as "bacterial SSU rRNA". It matches the Rfam family "Bacterial small subunit ribosomal RNA", at positions 111 to 680 of the family's 1533-position model. The record is from RNAcentral. Lineage: Bacteria; Pseudomonadati; Pseudomonadota; Gammaproteobacteria; Vibrionales; Vibrionaceae.